This 1620-nucleotide long non-coding RNA is filed under the name Marmota monax (woodchuck). Lineage: Eukaryota; Metazoa; Chordata; Mammalia; Rodentia; Sciuridae. The record is from RNAcentral.
UAGAGUCUGUAAACAAGUCAAAAAUAACACCUGGCAUUUUGCCAGGGGAAUGUUAGAGUUCGUAAACAAGUCUGGAUGGUGCCUGGCAAAAUGCCUGAGGGAGUGGUUUAAGAAGUAACAAAAGCGAGCCAUUAAGUGUAGAGAUUCCUUAUUGGUUGACUGAUGUAUCUAGUUUAUGCUAAUUAGAUAAGCUCUGUGGAAUUUUGUAUAAAUACUGCUCCUGUCCUACAAUAAACGGCUCCUACUCCUGCUGUAUCAACGUACACAAGUUAUUCGUCACCCCCCGGUUAUUUUGCAGCCAGCCGGCCUUCUACAGAUGGUGGCCCGUUACGGGGAGCCCCGGGACACUCGGGGGUAAGUGACGAAAAAAAGCUGCCUGUCCAUAGAUAGGACGGGAGCAAAUCUGCUCGUCCCUAGGCAGAUAGGGCGAGAGGAAAAAUGGCCAUUUCGAGAAAAUGGAGAAGAUUGAUACAGUAUGUUUGUGUCUUGUUUUGUCUCAGUGUAUUGUAUUGUCUUUGUGAUGAAAAUAUGGAAGGGGUGAGAAGUAAAUUACUAAGGGAAGAAGGNGAGCCCAAAUCUAGACCUGACCUGGAGGCACAGUCUCGCAGGCUCUUGCUCCCUGUGCCCAGUAGCAGUUUGAGUCCGGGACACUCCCCAGGGCCAUCUGGGGCUGCCCAGGCACUACAGCCAGCAGAAGACGCUACUGGUGUCCCUGAUGUUUGGUCAUUUUCAAUGCCAAUAACUAAGCUACAAUGGUUCUCCCACACCUGGAAGCUAAUGAGUAAUGAGCACCAUUAAGGCUUAUUUAAAUGUAAAAAACCUUGAGAUAAUGUACUAAAUUGUUCAGAAGGUUGUUUUCUUAGUAGAAUGCUACAGGAUUUUCUUUAGCCAUCCGGAGUUCCUGCCUUCGUCCCAGUGCCGGUAAAAACGAGGGUGGAAGAAUUUCCAGUGUUGCUGAAAACUGGACGAAACUUUGGCUGAAAAACGGACGAGACUUCGGAUCAAGCUAGCUGCCUGCAGAACUUACCUGGACUGUGAUUUAAGCUAGCUGCCUGCAGAACUUACCUGGACUGUGAUUUACCUGGACUGUGAGUUAAUCUAUUGAGACACUACUUUACCUGGACUGAGACAACAAACUGUAAUCUAUAACAAAUUGUAACUCGGUAUCUUUGCUAACAGUGUCAUUGCUGGUAUAAUUUUUCCAAGGGCUUCUUGCAUGGAGCCAUCAAUUGGCUUGGUAUUGUGGCAUUUUGUAUCCUCCCUUUCUGUUUGUAGCAGGUUAUUUAUGGUGUUUCUGUAAAAACCACUAUGGUUGUUAUUUAAAUUAAACAAAAGGGGGAAAUAUUAGAGUCUGUAAACAAGUCAAAAAUAACACCUGGCAUUUUGCCAGGGGAAUGUUAGAGUUCGUAAACAAGUCUGGGUGGUGCCUGGCAAAAUGCCUGAGGGAGUGGUUUAAGAAGUAACAAAAGCGAGCCAUUAAGUGUAGAGAUUCCUUAUUGGUUGACUGAUGUAUCUAGUUUAUGCUAAUUAGAUAAGCUCUGUGGAAUUUUGUAUAAAUACUGCUCCUGUCCUACAAUAAACGGCUCCUACUCCUGCUGUAUCAACGUUCACAAGUUGUUC